This 425-nucleotide ribosomal RNA is filed under the name uncultured bacterium. Its description in RNAcentral is "bacterial SSU rRNA". It matches the Rfam family "Bacterial small subunit ribosomal RNA", at positions 354 to 776 of the family's 1533-position model. The record is from RNAcentral.
GUGAGGAAUAUUGGUCAAUGGGCGCGAGCCUGAACCAGCCAAGUAGCGUGCAGGACGACGGCCCUAUGGGUUGUAAACUGCUUUUAUACGGGGAUAAAGUAUGCCACGUGUGGUUUAUUGCAGGUACCGUAUGAAUAAGGACCGGCUAAUUCCGUGCCAGCAGCCGCGGUAAUACGGAAGGUCCGGGCGUUAUCCGGAUUUAUUGGGUUUAAAGGGAGCGUAGGCCGGGUUUUAAGCGUGCCGUGAAAUGUCGGGGCUCAACCUUGACACUGCGGCGCGAACUGGAGUCCUUGAGUGCGCGGAACGUAUGCGGAAUUCGUGGUGUAGCGGUGAAAUGCUUAGAUAUCACGAAGAACCCCGAUUGCGAAGGCAGCAUACGGCAGCGCUACUGACGCUGAAGCUCGAAGGCGCGGGUAUCGAACAGG